This 804-nucleotide ribosomal RNA is filed under the name Aedes galloisi. Its description in RNAcentral is "partial 16S ribosomal RNA". The stretch from base 1 to 562 matches the Rfam family "Bacterial large subunit ribosomal RNA", at positions 1861 to 2925 of the family's 2925-position model. Lineage: Eukaryota; Metazoa; Arthropoda; Insecta; Diptera; Culicidae. The record is from RNAcentral.
GCCCACUGAUAAUUAUUAAAGGGCCGCAGUAUUUUGACUGUGCGAAGGUAGCAUAAUCAAUAGUCUUUUAAUUGAAGGCUUGUAUGAAUGGUUGAAUGAGAUAUAUACUGUCUUUUUUAAAUUUUUAUAGAAUUUUAUUUUUUAAUUAAAAAGUUAAAAUGUAAUUAAAAGACGAGAAGACCCUAUAGAUCUUUAUUUUUGUUGAUUAUAAAUUAAAAAGAAUAAUUAAAUUUAUAGUUUAAUAAAAAAUUUUACUGGGGUGGUAUUAAAAUUUAAAAAACUUUUAUUUUUUGUUUACAUUAAUUUAUGAAUAUUUGAUCCAAUUUUAUUGAUUAAAAAAUUAAGUUACCUUAGGGAUAACAGCGUAAUUUUUUUUUAGAGUUCUUAUCGACAAAAAAGAUUGCGACCUCGAUGUUGGAUUAAGAGUUAUUUUUAGGUGUAGAAGUUUAAAGUUUAGGUCUGUUCGACCUUUGAAUUCUUACAUGAUCUGAGUUCAAACCGGCGUAAGCCAGGUUGGUUUCUAUCUUUAAUUAAAUAUUAUAUUAUAGUACGAAAGGACCUAAUAUAAAAAAUAUAAAUUUUAAUUUUAUGAAUUAUAUUAAUAUUUAAUAAAACUAUUUUGGCAGAUUAGUGCAAUAAAUUUAGAAUUUAUUUAUAUAAUUUAAUUAAUUAUAAAUAGUAUUGUUUUAUAUAGAUUAUUUAUUAUCAUUAAUUGGAAGUUUAUUAUUAGUAAUUUGUGUAAUAGUGGGAGUAGCUUUUUUAACUUUAUUAGAACGUAAAGUUUUAGGUUAUAUUCAAAUUCGA